Long non-coding RNA from Aedes aegypti (yellow fever mosquito), 718 nucleotides. RefSeq lists it as uncharacterized. NCBI's taxonomy places the organism in Eukaryota, Metazoa, Arthropoda, Insecta, Diptera, Culicidae. The transcript has 2 exons. The record is from RefSeq and is a predicted model, not a curated record.
ACUCAAACAUAUUGCUUUAGAAUCAGACUUACAUGAUUGUCGAUAGUUUUGACAAAACUAAAAUGCAUCAUACGAAAUUGAUUUAGUUUAUUUUAGAUUUAGUAUUUUACUCAUACCUUACUAGUUUGAAACCAGUGUGUAUUGUUUGGUUUGAGCAGUUUGGCAGUUCCAUCUGCUUAGAUUUGUUUGCUGUAUAUAAAAAUACACAAACUAGGAAGAUCAAAGUUGAAUAUUACGUGAUUAUUACCUGUUACCUGAGUGAAAAUGAAAUAAACCUGAAAUGAACCUCAAAAGUUGUAAAUAAACGAGAAAAACCCGCAGCCGCGCAAUCAACAAGAGCAUCUAGCUGUAAACAAAAAACGAUGAUAGUUGCAGGUCGAAUUCAACAAAAGGUUCACUUUGCUGGCAAAGCUGCUAAGUUUCCGGAUAGCAUUCUGGAACGAUUCUCAACUACUUCAAGAAGAGCAGAGAGGGAACCGUUUUGCGUAAAACUACCUCCGUGGAUCAUCAACAAAGGCGCAAGCGAAAAUCAAACAUCGUUCCUGUAGCGGUGAUAAAAGCUGUCAACCUUCAGAAUGGUUCAGAAUGGUCGUUAUCCAAACUUCCGCCGUGGAAGCAGGUUGUGGUGGUGAUUCGGACAGCGAAUUUCAGCGUAGUCGUUCCCUGAGCUCCCGAGUGAAGUUACCAAGUGUUUGGGAGAAACCGCAGAUGAUUAAAG